GGUGCUGGAGCUCACCAGUGACAAUGACCGCCUGCGCAAGCGGGUGGAACAGCUGAGCCGCGAGCUGGACACGCUGCGGGGCAUCUUCCGCCAGCUGCCCGAGAGCUCCCUGGUCAAGGCCAUGGGCAACUGCCCGUGAGGCGCGGGGCGGCCGCCCGCUGGGACCCCGGGCGUGGAUUCGUGGAGUCGGGCUCGGCUCGGGAUCUCCAGGCUGCCCCCCGCGGCGCAGGCCCGGCCUGGGAGGCCCCGGCCCGCCGAUUCGGUGCGCCCAGGACGGGGGUCAGGCCGGGCCUUCUCCCCGAAGGAGGGAAGCGCCGUGGGGCCGAGCCGAGCCCGAGCCCGAGCCCGAGCCUGGCAACUCUAGUAUUAAGGAUACCCUCGUGCCUUGGAAACGCAAACUCGCCGCUCCGAUUCCUACCGAGUAGGGGGAGCCGAUAGGUGCCUUGUCAUUUUAUUCGGAGGGUUCCUGCCGCACCCCGAGGUGCAGGCCCCCCACCCCCACCCCCACCCCCGGGGAGAGAGGGCAGCGUGCAGGCCCGCGGCUGCUCCAAGGGUCAGGAUCUCUCGGCGCCCGUCCUCGGAAGGGAGGACAUACAGGGACUUGGAAGGUCGUUACCCUAGUUCUACAUGAAGGUGGCGGGUCCCUAGCUCCCUGCCCUCCAGUCUCCCAGCCUGUCACGGGCUGGGCUUCCCUGGGCAGAACUCACUGAGAUGGGGGUCACCGGGUGACCGGCGGGAGCCCCUCCACCCCCACCCCCGGUCAGGCCAGGGCAGGCCAAAGCUAUCUGGACACGUGUUCGUGGGAGUGGUAGCCUGGUGGCAGAGGGAAACCUAGAGAUCUGGCCCCGGGGUGGGGGUGGGAGUGGGGCGGGGAGGUGGGGUGAAGGGACACUGGGACCAUCAGCCUUGUACUGUAUGUUGCCAGCAUUGCCAUACAAACAUGAAGCACAAUCUGUCCAUCCCAGAGGGACCGAAGUUAUGAGAAGCUUUCCAAAUAUUUUGCUUUAUCAGCCGAUAUCAACACUUGUAUCUGGCCUCUCUGUGUCCCAGCGGUGCCUUGUGCAAUGUGAAUGUGCACGUCUAUGCUAAACCACCAUUUUAUUUGGUUUUUGUUUUGUUUUGGUUUUGCUCAGAUACUUGCCAAAAUGAGACUCUUUGUCAGCAGCUGCAGGGAGGGUCUGCGGCUCUCUUUCCUUUUGGUUUUGGGGGAUCGCUUUUGCUCCCAGGGGAACCAAAGAGGUGAGGUGGGCUUCCUCUUUCCCUGGGGGGUUGGGGGGCCGUGGGCCUCGGUGCCCUCCGGCCUGGGCCGCCCACAGGCUUGUCCUGCCCGCCCCCCCAGAGGCCCUGGCUCCUGGUCUGGAAGGGAGGUGGCCUCCAGCCAGCAAGCGCAGAUCGCUGGGGCUGGGAGCAGGGAAGGACAGCUUGGUUCUCUUCUUUGGGGAGAACGUAGAGUUUCAUGCUAGAUGUUUUAUGUAUUAUAUCUAUAAUAUAAACAUAUCAAAGUAAA
RNAcentral lists this long non-coding RNA (1507 nucleotides) under Canis lupus familiaris (dog). RNAcentral's name for it is "lncRNA (ENSCAFG00845000158.1)". The record is from RNAcentral. Lineage: Eukaryota; Metazoa; Chordata; Mammalia; Carnivora; Canidae.